AGCAGCCGCGGUAAUUCCAGCUCCAAUAGCGUAUAUUAAAGUUGUUGCAGUUAAAAAGCUCGUAGUUGAAUUUCGGGAUUAGUACGUUGGUCGUGCCUUAGGUACGUACUGGUGUUACUGGUUCCUACCUUCUGACGAACCAUCAUGUCAUUAAUUUGGUGUGGUGGGAAAUCAGGACUGUUACUUUGAAAAAAUUAGAGUGUUUAAAGCAGGCUCGCGCUUGAAUACAUUAGCAUGGAAUAAUGAAAUAGGACGUUGACCCUAUUUUGUUGGUUUCUAGGAUUGACGUAAUGAUUAAUAGGGAUAGUUGGGGGCAUUAGUAUUCAAUUGUCAGAGGUGAAAUUCUUGGAUUUAUUGAAGACUAACUACUGCGAAAGCAUUUGCCAAGGAUGUUUUCAUUAAUCAAGAACGAAAGUUAGGGGAUCGAAGACGAUCAGAUACCGUCGUAGUCUUAACCAUAAACUAUGCCGACUAGGGAUCGGAUGAUGUUAAUUUUUUAAUGACUCAUUCGGCGCCUUACG
RNAcentral lists this ribosomal RNA (521 nucleotides) under uncultured Glomeromycotina. RNAcentral describes it as "SSU rRNA". It matches the Rfam family "Eukaryotic small subunit ribosomal RNA", at positions 569 to 1092 of the family's 1831-position model. Lineage: Eukaryota; Fungi; Glomeromycota. The record is from RNAcentral.